This is a long non-coding RNA of Olea europaea var. sylvestris, 1179 nucleotides long. RefSeq lists it as uncharacterized. The record is from RefSeq and is a predicted model, not a curated record. Lineage: Eukaryota; Viridiplantae; Streptophyta; Magnoliopsida; Lamiales; Oleaceae. The transcript has 3 exons.
ACGAGGAAGCAAAAGCGGAAACAUAAGUUGCGAACCCUCCCUCGCUCCCACCACCACACCCAUCGCCAACCGGAGCACCCAUCGUUGAUCAGAACAUCUUCACCGGUAAUCCUUCCAUCUCCGAUCAUCCCUGCUCCUUCAAUCUAUUUUGGUGAGAAAUAGUUGUUUGUACAUUUCACUGUACGAAAAGGAGUUGUUAAGUCCUUUUAGUAGUUUAAACUUCGCCAUAGUGAAGAAGGAAUAAUUCCAUUAAAGAAGUUAUCAGAAAGAUCAAGAGUCUGGAGCUUUGAGAGUUUUCCAAGUUUUGCUGGGAUUGGUCCUGUUAUGUUGAUGAGAAAUAGUUGUUUGUCCAUUUUUGCAGCUGCCUUGCGUUGAGAAUCACGGGCAAAAUAAAGUAUGGAAGACGUAGAUGAUAAGCCUGUUGAUGUUUUGAUGGAAUCCGAUACUGAGAAUAUUACGGAGUUUGUGAAUGUAGUCGAAGACGAAACAUCAGGGGGGAUGGGUUACAAGUGCCUAAGGUGGGUAUGCUAUUUAAGCAUGAAGAAUAUAUGUAUAACUUCUACAAAAAAAUAAGCUUAUGCCGUUGGUUUUCUCUUAAAAAAAAGGAAUUCGAAAAGGGGGAGGACGGAGUAUUGAGAUACCUAACGUUAACACGUAGUCAUACUUGCCCAAUGACAUGUUGACACCAUUAUCUUUGUCACAACUGUCCAUGCCCACACCGUUCUCCCUUUCCCAAUGUGUACCCUUUGGAAAUUUGGUCUCUCCAUCCGCGGCUAGUAUCAUGCAAAAUUCACAAGGUCAACCAUCGGCGAACUACUUUCAAAAUUUAUUGGAUCACAGUGGCAGCCUAUAGAAGGGGUGCUAUGUCUGCGCGAUUGAAAUUUGUUUGAAAUCAAGACUUCCAAUUCACAGUACUCAAAUGAAGAUGUAUUUUGGCAUUUCCUGGUAUUAAGGCAAUUACUACUUUGCCUAUUUUGGCAACUUCACAGGUUUUAGUUGGCGGAAUUUUUUUGAAAUGUUGGGCAAUUACUACUCAUAGUGUAUUAGUAUCAGGUAAUUGUUGUGAUAAUUCAAUGGAAAUUUCUUUUGUUUUGUUCAUUGCUUUUUGAGCAACUUAUAUAAUAGCUGAAUUGUUAAGUCUUUCUGCUUUCUGUGAUAAUUGAGAAUUUUCUUCUGCAA